This 36-nucleotide transfer RNA is filed under the name Rhinanthus minor. Its description in RNAcentral is "partial tRNA-Leu". Lineage: Eukaryota; Viridiplantae; Streptophyta; Magnoliopsida; Lamiales; Orobanchaceae. The record is from RNAcentral. RNAcentral also lists the same sequence under 2 other names.
AAAAUCCGUCGACUUUAAAAAUCGUGAGGGUUCAAG